Molecule: ribosomal RNA, 253 nt
Filed under: uncultured bacterium
Lineage: Bacteria
Description: partial 16S ribosomal RNA
Rfam family: Bacterial small subunit ribosomal RNA
Source: RNAcentral
UACGAAGGGUGCAAGCGUUAUUCGGAUUUAUUGGGCGUAAAGGGUUCGUAGGCGGGAGAGCAAGUCAAGUGUGAAAUGUCCGGGCUUAACCUGGAGAGUGCAUUUGAAACUGCUUUUCUUGAGUGUUGCAGAGGGUGGUGGAAUUGCUGGUGUAGGAGUGACAUCCGUAGAGAUCAGCAGGAACAUCGGAGGCGAAGGCGGCCACCUGGGCAAAUACUGACGCUGAGGAACGAAAGCAUGGGGAGCAAACAGG